Molecule: long non-coding RNA, 1679 nt
Organism: Leopardus geoffroyi (Geoffroy's cat)
Lineage: Eukaryota; Metazoa; Chordata; Mammalia; Carnivora; Felidae
Exons: 2
Source: RefSeq, a predicted model, not a curated record
AUAUUUUUAAAUGUUCCCAGGUGAUUCUAAUUUGCUGCCAGGUUUGAGAACCCUGGAUUAGAUGUAUCUUGUUCCUGGCUGACAUCAGUCCCGUGGAAUCGACGGUCACAGCUGGCCCCUAAAAGGCUGAGUGUGUAUAUCUGGAGCUGGGGGCCUCUGUGUCCGAGGGGCUUUAACAUUUAUUGAGCCCUUACUAUGUGCCUCGCAUUUCACCUUCUCAACAACAGUAUAAAGUUGGAUCUAUUAUUAGCCACAUUUUAUACGUAUGGAAAACUGAGGCACAGAGAGACCAAGUAAUUUGUCCACAGUCACACAGCUAGUAAGUAAUGGAGCCAAAAUUCAAACUCAGACCAUCUGGCUCCAAUCUGUGUCCUAAAUUCAUGCUCCUUAUCUUGAGGAAAGGCAUGUGAGAAGAACAGAUUUUCCUACCUCUCCUUUUGUCCCCAACGAUGCAGUGACUGAGGGUCCUAUGCUCCCAGUCCCUGAACCCUCUGCCCAUCUCUGCCACAAGAAAACCCAGCCCCAGGAAUGCUUGGCCCAGCCCCUCUAGACACUUCCUUUUGUCUCCCCACCUUACCGGCUGCUAUAACUGCCCAGUGGCCCAGCUACUGAGUAUUUUAGGAAAAGGUGAGUCAGCUGACAGCCUGUCAACCUGGGUACCAGGCCUACCAGACCUCAGGCCCUGUCCAGAAACCAGCCCUCUGUUGUUCCCAAUAAUAAUGACACUCCUGUGGGCCACGGUGCUCACCAAGCACUUCCUCAUCCAGGCUGGGAGAGCAGACUUCCUGUUUGCCAUCUCUCCAGGUGACAGAGUGGCACCAGCAGACACCCAGUAGACCCCACAUCUGCUCUCAUCCCCCAUGCCCACCUGUCUUACUUCCAUAAGCCUGUCUGGUGCCUGACAUGCAUUUAUCCUGUCACUGUUAACCACGGUCAUACUCCUGGAAGCCCAGGUUCGAAUCUGCACCCUGCCUUGACAUACUGGGUGACCGCAGGCAAACUUCUGGCCCUCUCUGUCCUCAGACUCCUCAGCAACUAUAGAAGUUGGCCUGGUUCUCGUCGAGGGCUCAGGCAGAUCAGGUGGAAGGAGGCAGGAUCCAGGUAGGCCUAGCUGGGUACAAGGCAGCUUUCUUGGGCAGGCAGGCCUGCCUGGGCAUGCCAGACCCAAGGACUAUGAACAAGGACCAGAUUUCAGUAUGGGAGGCUCCUCAGGAGAGACUGUGUAUGACUCAGUCACAGUAUGACUUGGGGUGUGGAGCCUACAGACUGACAGAGGGCCCUACCAUCCUAGGGGCCCUGCAAAGGGACAAUCCAAGAAGCGUCCUGGAGGAAUCUGACAUCUCUGUGGGUUCUGUGUCCGUCUACAGCCUGUCCUCAAUGCUUCAGCCCUGGAGAGAGCAUGGGUAUAGACCACCCUUCGGCCACACCUACACUGCCUUCUGGCCACUCCUCAUGGGAUCCAUGAGGAUUCCACAGAUCCAUCCACCAACCAGCACUCCCCAUCACUCCGCGCUUUGCCAGGUAGGUAGUCGGCCUCUCCACUAUGCUGUCAACUCCAGGGGACAGGGCUCUUUGUGUUUUGUUCAUCGCUGUGACCCUAGCACCUAGAACAAGGCUCAACCCAGAAGAAUUGCUCAAAAAGACAUCUAUUGACCAUACAAAUAAAUGAUAGAAUCUUC